Danio rerio (zebrafish) is the source of this 117-nucleotide ribosomal RNA. Lineage: Eukaryota; Metazoa; Chordata; Actinopteri; Cypriniformes; Danionidae. The record is from Ensembl.
AGCCACAGCCAUAUCACCCUACAGCCCAAGACCAGUUACUCACUGAAGCUAAGCAGGUUUGAGCCUGGUCAGUACUUGGAUGGGAGACCAAAUGGGAACACUAAGUUGCUGUUGGAA